RNAcentral lists this ribosomal RNA (256 nucleotides) under uncultured bacterium. Its description in RNAcentral is "partial 16S ribosomal RNA". It matches the Rfam family "Bacterial small subunit ribosomal RNA", at positions 15 to 278 of the family's 1533-position model. The record is from RNAcentral.
GAUCCUGGCUCGGGACGAACGCUGGCGGCGUGCCUAACACAUGCAAGUCGAACGGGACUAUUGAAGAAGCUUGCUUUUGAAAUAGUCAAGUGGCGGACGGGUGAGUAACGCGUGAGGACCUGUCUCCGGCAGGGGGACAACAUUUGGAAACGGAUGCUAAUACCGCAUAAGCCGAGAGGUGAAAGGAGCAAUCCGGCAGGAGAGGGACUCGCGUUCUAUCAGCUAGUAGGCGGGGUAAAGGCCCACCUAGGCGAAG